UUUCUUCCCCUCUUUGCAACCUCAAUUCUCUACACCAAAUUUUGAUUCACACUCAAAGAAUAUAAGUGAAGUGAAUACUGUGGUGAAGAAAAGUGGGAGUGAGCCAGCACCAAAAAGGACUCGUAACGAAACUCCAUCAACUUUGCCAGCUUUUAAGGUCAGAAAGGAAAAGAUGGGAGACAGAAUCACUGCACUCCAACAAUUGGUGUCUCCUUUUGGAAAGACUGAUACAGCCUCAGUGCUUUCUGAAGCCAUUGAAUAUAUCAAAUUUCUUCAUGAACAAGUCACACUUUUGAGCACCCCGUAUAUGAAAAGUGGAGCUUCAUCAGAGAUUCAACAGAACUCGGGUAAAUCAAAAAAAUCCGAGGGCGCAAAGCAAGAUCUAAGAAGUCGAGGUCUAUGUUUGGUACCAAUUUCAAGCACAUUUCCAGUGACUCAUGAAACAACAGUUGAUUUUUGGACACCAACAUUUGGAGGAACAUCAAGAUAA
This is a non-coding RNA of Vicia faba (fava bean), 490 nucleotides long. The record is from the annotation of a GenBank genome assembly. Lineage: Eukaryota; Viridiplantae; Streptophyta; Magnoliopsida; Fabales; Fabaceae.